This 472-nucleotide ribosomal RNA is filed under the name uncultured bacterium. Its description in RNAcentral is "SSU rRNA". It matches the Rfam family "Bacterial small subunit ribosomal RNA", at positions 26 to 518 of the family's 1533-position model. The record is from RNAcentral.
AGGAUGAACGCUGGCGGCGUGCCUAACACAUGCAAGUCGAACGUCCUGUCUCGCAAGAGGCAGGGAGUGGCGGACGGGUGAGUACCACGUGGGUCAUCUACCGUGAGGUGAGGAAUACCGGCGAGAAAUCGCCGACAAGACCGCAUAGGCUCGAUGCAAGUCGAGCAAAGCUCUUUCGAGAGAGGGAGCGCCACACGAGGAGCCUGCGCCCGAUUAGCUAGCUGGUGGAGUAACGGUUCACCAGGGCGACGAUCGGUAGCUGGUCUGAGAGGACGAUCAGCCACACUGGGAUUGAGAACGGCCCAGACUCCUACGGGGGCAGCAGUGAGGAAUUUUCGUCAAUGGGGGCAACCCUGAACGAGCAACGCCGCGUGCAGGAAGAAGGUUUUCGGAUCGUAAACUGCUUUUCUCGGGGAAGAGAACGGACGGUACCCGAGGAAUCAGCCCCGGCUAACUACGUGCCAGCAGCCGC